This 99-nucleotide small nucleolar RNA is filed under the name Cavia porcellus (domestic guinea pig). Its description in RNAcentral is "Small nucleolar RNA U13". It matches the Rfam family "Small nucleolar RNA U13". The record is from Rfam by way of RNAcentral. Lineage: Eukaryota; Metazoa; Chordata; Mammalia; Rodentia; Caviidae.
AUCCUCAGGUUCAUAAGCGUGAUGAUUGGGUGUUCAUGCUCCAUGUAUGACAUGUGCCUCCUUUGAACCUUAUUACGUCGGCACAUUACCUAUCUGACG